This 542-nucleotide ribosomal RNA is filed under the name Bifidobacterium breve. RNAcentral's name for it is "bacterial SSU rRNA". It matches the Rfam family "Bacterial small subunit ribosomal RNA", at positions 161 to 711 of the family's 1533-position model. Lineage: Bacteria; Bacillati; Actinomycetota; Actinomycetes; Bifidobacteriales; Bifidobacteriaceae. The record is from RNAcentral.
UGGUAAUGCCGGAUGCUCCAUUUGAUUGCAUGGUGUUCUGGGAAAGCCUUUGCGGCAUGGGAUGGGGUCGCGUCCUAUCAGCUUGAUGGCGGGGUAACGGCCCACCAUGGCUUCGACGGGUAGCCGGCCUGAGAGGGCGACCGGCCACAUUGGGACUGAGAUACGGCCCAGACUCCUACGGGAGGCAGCAGUGGGGAAUAUUGCACAAUGGGCGCAAGCCUGAUGCAGCGACGCCGCGUGAGGGAUGGAGGCCUUCGGGUUGUAAACCUCUUUUGUUAGGGAGCAAGGCAUUUUGUGUUGAGUGUACCUUUCGAAUAAGCACCGGCUAACUACGUGCCAGCAGCCGCGGUAAUACGUAGGGUGCAAGCGUUAUCCGGAAUUAUUGGGCGUAAAGGGCUCGUAGGCGGUUCGUCGCGUCCGGUGUGAAAGUCCAUCGCUUAACGGUGGAUCCGCGCCGGGUACGGGCGGGCUUGAGUGCGGUAGGGGAGACUGGAAUUCCCGGUGUAACGGUGGAAUGUGUAGAUAUCGGAAAAAGAACACCA